AAGUCGUAACAAGGUUUCCGUAGGUGAACCUGCGGAAGGAUCAUUAGUGAAUUAAACAUGCUUGGUGUCUUCGCUUCGGCAAGGCCCUUGCUUAAAUCACAUCCUAACACCUGUGAACUGUAAGACGUAUGAUGAGGUCUUUGGCCAAGUCAUCGUCUGCCCAUUUUUAACAAACAAUUAAUGUAACAAACGUAGUCUUAUUAUAACCUAAUAAAACUUUCAACAACGGAUCUCUUGGCUCUC
This 243-nucleotide unclassified non-coding RNA is filed under the name Solicoccozyma terrea. Its description in RNAcentral is "partial internal transcribed spacer region". The stretch from base 1 to 46 matches the Rfam family "Eukaryotic small subunit ribosomal RNA", at positions 1786 to 1831 of the family's 1831-position model. RNAcentral also lists the same sequence under 4 other names. The record is from RNAcentral. Lineage: Eukaryota; Fungi; Basidiomycota; Tremellomycetes; Filobasidiales; Piskurozymaceae.